Molecule: long non-coding RNA, 1169 nt
Organism: Amphiprion ocellaris (clown anemonefish)
Lineage: Eukaryota; Metazoa; Chordata; Actinopteri; Pomacentridae
Source: Ensembl
GGAAAACCUUCAUUACCCGAAAAAACCCAGGAAAGCGACCAUAACUACUCUGCAAUAGACGUAACUCUGCAAGGAAAGCGUGGUCCAGAAUCGACGCCGCCAACCCCAAGUAAGAGUAAAGAUAAGAAGUCUAAGACCAAUGAUGAUGAAAACGAAGGAACUCAAGCUUCCAACAAUGAUAUUUUAAAAGCAAUUUUGGAGCUGGGACAACGAGUGACUGGAAUGGAGUCGCAGCUAAGUGAUAUCAGGGAGCAAAACCGACAGAACGCCGCCAUGAUAGUUAAUCUGACCAAGACAGUGCAGUUCAACUCGGAGGAGUUAGAACAAACUAAAAAGAAAGUUUCUGAACUGGAGAAGAUUAACAGUCAUUUAUUGCAGGAAAACACAGAACUGAAGGAGAAAGUAAAUGAUCAAAAGCGAUAUAGCAUGAGGUCUUGUCUCAAAGUGAGGGGACUGAAGGAGCAAAAAGAUGAAAACCUUAGAAUGAUUGUCAUUCCCAUUUUACAGAAAAUUGUUCCUGAAUUUGCUACCAAGAUGGAGCUUGCGGUGGAUGUUGUACAUAGACUUGGCAAGAAAGAAGAUAACCGGACCAGGCAUGUCAUUAUCCGAUUUGUGCACAGGCAUGUUAGGGAUGAAAUAUGGAGCAGGACCAAAAAGUCACCCAUUUGCAAAACGGAAGGCAUCACCUUUGCUGAGAUGUUAAUUCGUGAGGAUCUGGAGGCUCGACAACGCAAGUGGCCCUUGGUUGACCAAGCUAGACGAGGGGGACAGCGGGCAUAUUUUCGUGGACCUCACGUAUACAUCGAGGGACGACGGGUGGAGGACAUGGAUCUGCAGACUACCUAAAGACUCACUCAUCGGAAGCUGAUGCAUCGUUUUGGUCCAAUCAAUGGGGUGAUAAAAUCUUGUAUAGCCAUGGCUCUUCAAGAUCUGGAGGAGUCGCGAUUUGUUUUAACAAUUUUCACGGAGACAACAUCACACAUCGGACUGAUACAGAAGGACACUGGUUGGCGGCCGUGGUUAAAAUAGAAGGUUUGUUCCUGAUAUUGAUAAAUGUUUAUGGAUAUAACAACAACAGUCAAAAUAAGGUAAUGCUAGAUGAUAUAACAAAUGUGGUAACAGAACUCAAAGGCAGAUACCCUUCAGAUUACAUAUUGUGUGGAGGUGAU